Molecule: long non-coding RNA, 175 nt
Organism: Mesocricetus auratus (golden hamster)
Lineage: Eukaryota; Metazoa; Chordata; Mammalia; Rodentia; Cricetidae
Exons: 2
Source: RefSeq, a predicted model, not a curated record
GUCAGCCUGACUGGGCUUCCUGGAGAGGGUGUAGACUCUCAGGAGGAGUUCUAAAGUCAUCCAUUCUGCGUGGUCAAGACUCCAAGGGCCAGCGAGAGAAGGAAGUAAAACAAAAAAAUCUGUUCUUGCUUCAUACCUCCAGGCAAAGUUGAGAAAUAAAUUCCAUGUUUUGAGA